GAGCCCAUAGCUCAGUCAGGUUAGAGCGCUGGUCUUAUAAGCCAGAGGUCCCCGGUUCAAAUCCGGGUGGGCUCA
RNAcentral lists this transfer RNA (75 nucleotides) under Candidatus Pacearchaeota archaeon. RNAcentral describes it as "tRNA-Ile". It matches the Rfam family "tRNA". From Rfam's summary of the family: Transfer RNA (tRNA) molecules are approximately 80 nucleotides in length. Their secondary structure includes four short double-helical elements and three loops (D, anti-codon, and T loops). Lineage: Archaea; Nanobdellati. The record is from RNAcentral.